RNAcentral lists this ribosomal RNA (468 nucleotides) under uncultured bacterium. Its description in RNAcentral is "partial 16S ribosomal RNA". It matches the Rfam family "Bacterial small subunit ribosomal RNA", at positions 28 to 507 of the family's 1533-position model. The record is from RNAcentral.
GACGAACGCUGGCGGCGUGCUUAACACAUGCAAGUCGAACGGAAAGGCCCUGCUUUUGUGGGGUGCUCGAGUGGCGAACGGGUGAGUAACACGUGAGUAACCUGCCCUUGACUUUGGGAUAACUUCAGGAAACUGGGGCUAAUACCGGAUAGGAGCUCCUGCUGCAUGGUGGGGGUUGGAAAGUUUCGGCGGUUGGGGAUGGACUCGCGGCUUAUCAGCUUGUUGGUGGGGUAGUGGCUUACCAAGGCUUUGACGGGUAGCCGGCCUGAGAGGGUGACCGGCCACAUUGGGACUGAGAUACGGUCCAGACUCCUACGGGAGGCAGCAGUGGGGAAUAUUGCACAAUGGGCGGAAGCCUGGUGCAGCAACGCCGCGUGCGGGAUGACGGCCUUCGGGUUGUAAACCGCUUUCGCCUGUGACGAAGCGUGAGUGACGGUAAUGGGUAAAGAAGCACCGGCUAACUACGUG